Molecule: long non-coding RNA, 4343 nt
Organism: Strigops habroptila (Kakapo)
Lineage: Eukaryota; Metazoa; Chordata; Aves; Psittaciformes; Psittacidae
Exons: 2
Source: RefSeq, a predicted model, not a curated record
CUGGUCAUAUCUACAGUCAUUAUUGUCAUCCCAAACUGAGAUUGCAGCAGCUUUGUCCAGAUGCUGCAUCGAUUACUAGUCUUUCAAAGAUUGCAUAUCUGCUUGCAAACUUCUGCAAAUUACGAACUUAGAUUGAUUUAAGUCCUUUGAUGGCAUCUUCAGUUCUGCUAGAUCUUCCUAAACAUUCUUUAGAUCAACUUUAAAGUCAGAGAUGUCAUCUGUUGUUUCACUAUAGCUCCUAUUCUUUCUUUUAAAAAUUAGAUGCUGCUGACACCUUUAAAGCUUUUCUGUAAGUGUUCAGCCCAUAGCAAACAUUUGUACAACUAUUAUUUUAGAAGCUAAAUGUUCCAGUUUGUUUGUUUAGGCAUUUCUUAUGUGGUCUUAUGCAGUGGCUACUGGGUAUGUUAAAUGUAUGGCUUUUCUGAGGCAUCAAAAGUAACCAUACAUUUCAUUGUUCUCUGAUUCAUAACUGGUUUACUCAAUUCAUGUUCAUCUGAAUGUUCAUCUGAAAGGUGUUAAAUUUUAGCACUAUUUAGAAUUAACUCCUUUAUUAAUAAUGAAACUUGCACUCCAAAUUAAAAUUUUCAGUUUUAUUUAAAAAUUUCCUUUUUAUUUAAAAAUUAGGUCAUAUAAAUACUUUGUAAAGGAGUCAUUGAAGAGGAAAUAAAAUUGAACUGUGGCAGAUAGACUGUGGCUUGUAUUUCCAGAAGUUCUCAUUUUGCUGUAUAAUGUAUCUCAGUGUCAGUUCGCAGACUGAUGUAACCUGAUCUUGUUCCAGCUCCUGGAUUCUUACAAGAUGGUACCAACAUUUUGCGGUAAGUUUUAUCAUGAAGUUUGGACUCUGCAGGUCAAGUGCUUUUGCCUGUGACCUACACUGAUUUAGGCAGUAUUCAACUCUGGAAACGAGAGAGCAGUCCAGUCACAUACAACAUUUUAACAGCAGAUUCAUCUGGUUAAGAAAGCGCACCCUUAUUUAUCUUGUAUUCUUUCUUUUUAAUGCCUGGGCCUGACAAAGAGGGGACUCUUUGGGAAAAGAAUGCCAAAUUCUGCAUUGUGUUUCUGCAGUUCCCUGUCAUAUGUUGUUCAGAGAUUCAUGGCAACAAACUUCUCAAAGGCAUGAAGUGAAGGAGUUACAUUUCUUCUUCCCCAGAACUUUGGAAUCUAUCCCAUUUCAUGUGUAGUUUGUCUUCUCAUCAGGGAAGUAUUUUCUGAUCAGUAUGAGAUGUGUAUACCCAAGCAUGAAGCCUGGAUGUAUUUUCAGAGAUGGAUACUGAUUAAGAUCCUUAAUGUUUCAACUAUAAAUUCUACUCUUAAAGUAAACAUUGGAGAGUAAACAGUUUCUGUUAAAAAUAAAACCAUAGCAACAGCCUCAUGACAAAUCACAGAACUUUGCACUCGCUUUGUUUUGUAAUAAAGAAGGCCUUUGAUACGCUAUAGGCACCACCUAGCCCAGCUAUAGGUGAGGGCUCUGUUCUAAACACUGUUUCACAGCAUUUAUGAUUCAGCAUCAAAAGCAUGUUUCUGGUUGAAAUGUGGUACAGAAGCUCGCGCUCUUUCUCUGCUGUAAGAGGCUACCUAGAGUGUAAUUUUAUUCUGACCCCCCUUUCCAAAAUCCUUUUGACACCGUAACAAAACUUUAAAAAGAACAGAAAAACACCAAAAAACCAAAACCAAACCAAGAUUGAACCAGUAAUUUAAACCAGUAGUUCACUACUUCAUUGAGUACUGUCAUCAUUAGUUAAGUUGUCAUCAUUUCAGUUAAAAGUGGGAAAAAAAAAGUGUUCAAUAGGAAAUAAAGGUGUCUUGCUGCUGGACAUUUUAAUUCACAUAGUGAAACUUUUCCUGAAAUGACUGCUGGAAUAUUACAGACCUUCUUCUCUUGUUCCUGUGGCAUCAAGGGAAAAGUGGAGCAGACCUGGUUAUUCAGGAAUUCCUCAGGUGGCUGUUUGUAUUGUAAUUUGGUUUUUCUCAGUUGUAUAAAUUGUCUUGUUCUUGUGCAAAUAUACCACUGAUGUAGUUAAAGGAUCCAUGAGCUCUAAGUAAUGUCCUGUGAAGGGCAAGAUACUUGUCUCUGUGGCAGUUGGUUAGCAGACUUUUAAAGAUAGUACAAUAAGCUGCCAAAACCAGAAUUUUAAGCUUAGGUGUUUUCUCUGACCUCAUUUUAGGCCAAGCUUGCUGUCUUGAGAUACUAGGUAUUUUACUCCUUGAGAUACUAGAUACUUGGUUCUUACCAUGCGAAUAUUGAAAGCGUGAAAAACAUCACUGCAAGUGAAGCUGCCUUUUGGGCCUCGCAAAAACAAGUAUGGGGAAGAGUCUGAAGGAUGGCGACCAAGGAAGUCCUGCUCAUGGAAUUUUUCCCAAAGCACUUUGAUUCAGAUGAGACUAGCUAACUCUUCUAUAGAGAUGUAUUUGUCCCAAUUGUCUUUGUAACUCCAUACUGCCUCUUAGCAGGAGGAGAGAGAGACAACGGAACAGUUUUUGCUUGGCUUGUGUUUAUGUUAAAGAACCCCAAGGAGAUUGUCAAGAUGAAGGGAGAAGAGUUGAUGUUUCUGAGGUUUUGACUCUUGGGGAAGUUCAUUCCACUGUUAAGAAAGCUUCAGCCCCCUUGCGAAGAGAGCUUCAUUAUGACAGAAGAACCAAACUGGUAACUGUGGACCAUGGAUGAUCUUUGAUGUUUUUCCUUCUCUCUCUGUCAUACUCUUGGCCUUUCUAAAGAUGUUCAAAUAGUUGCUCUUUGUGUUAGUGCUCAGGGCAGGCUGCGUGUCCUGGUCUUACAUACGACCCACUUGUCAGUGCAAACCUCUAUAAAGCAGCCUGAAGCAUUUGGGGUUUUUUGUUCUUCAUUCACAAUUGGUGGGCAUGGGCAUAUUUUGUCAAAGUAAUGAAGCAAGAUGCUUAGAGUUUUGGGGUUUAGGUUUGCUUCCCAGGGCUACUUAGUUCUGUACCGAAGGACUGCAUGCCCACUCCAACCCUCAAAUCAAUGUCUUUUUGAUACAAGUGGGAGAUUUUCAGAGCAUUUUGGCUGAAUUCUUAUUUGCAUCUCUCCUUUUCUAAAACCAUAAGAAAAUUUUUCAUGCAAAUGACUUCCAGGAAUACUGAUUUUUAAAAGAAGCCUAUUUUGUUAAAGAUGGUGAAACUCAUAGACAGCAGUCACUUUGCUUACCCACUGUAGUCAGACUGAGUUGUGUUGCCACAGGAUGAGAACCGUACUGAAUGCUUCUUCAGUUCAAAGUGGAUCAAGGGUAUAAUUUUAGAGCUGAAAGACAUUGCUUACAGUUCAGGUAAAGAACUGCAAUUUAUUUUACCACCCAUCCUAUAUUGCACUUUUAGAUUGAAGGCCUUCAGGCCUGGAACUCUGCCUGUGCAUUUCACAUGUACAGUAUUCUCAGGAUACAAUAUAAAUAAUAGUAUAUCAGCAUUGGAGGGAAUAUCCCUGUGGAGCAAUCCACAACUGAGUGAACCUCUCGGAUAUUAUGGAACAAGGCCAGCAUUACUUCAAAAACAUUUUUCUUAGACAAAGUCAGUCAAGUGCCUAAAUUAAAAUCCCACUCAAUUGCUUUGGUCUUAUCAGAUGAAGUAUCUGUAUGUUCAUUUAAUAACCCUCUCAUGCAUUUUAUCUUUAUGCUUAAUUUAAAUAUGAGAAGCAAACACAUUUUAUAUAGUUGUUAUUCUCCAAUUACUACAAAAGCUUCUGAGAAUCUUUGAUCAUGAGAAUGUUACUUCAAAUCCAAUUCUGCUUCACAAUUACAAAAUGUCUUACUGAAGUUAGUUUGGAUGCAGUUCUAGUCCAAGUGCAGUAAACCACAGUCAGUCCUCAAAACCCAGGUAUGACUACAGAGCAGUAAGGAGAUCAGAAUGCACUCAUGUAACUGACCUGAUUUAUUUAGUGGUGGGGUUUUUUAAGGCAGAAAUUCCAGAAGAACUGUAAUGAUAACAAGUGCCUAACAUAGUGCAUGAAUGAUACGGCAUGAGAUGCAGUUUACAAAAUGUUGCUAUUAUUAAAAUACCUAAAAUACUUCUAGAUCAGUAAAUUUUAUUUAUUGCAUCAGGGACACUACAAAGGAUGUUCAGCCACAGAGUUCUGUUUUUUGGGAGGUAUUUUUACACACGACCAUGGAGAGGUGACACAGGCCACUAAUAUUAACACCCUUGUGCUUGGAUGGGGUCAGAUUAGACUGUGAACAAACUUUUAAUUAAAUUUCACUUCUCAGACAAUGAAACCAUGAAAAGUUUUGCUGCUUUUCCAUUUUCCAUACAUUUCAGCUUGUAACACUGAAACGCAUACAAAUGAAUUUCAGCAUCUUUACAGUAGUGACUUUGUUUCUGCCUUUUAUCCUUGAGGG